This 497-nucleotide ribosomal RNA is filed under the name uncultured bacterium. RNAcentral describes it as "partial 16S ribosomal RNA". It matches the Rfam family "Bacterial small subunit ribosomal RNA", at positions 28 to 507 of the family's 1533-position model. The record is from RNAcentral.
GAUGAACGCUGGCGGCGUGCCUAAUACAUGCAAGUCGAGCGGACGGACGAGAAGCUUGCUUCUCUGAUGUUAGCGGCGGACGGGUGAGUAACACGUGGAUAACCUACCUAUAAGACUGGGAUAACUUCGGGAAACCGGAGCUAAUACCGGAGAAUAUUUUGAACCGCAUGGUUCAAAAGUGAAAGACGGUCUUGCUGUCACUUAUAGAUGGAUCCGCGCUGCAUUAGCUAGUUGGUAAGGUAACGGCUUACCAAGGCAACGAUGCAUAGCCGACCUGAGAGGGUGAUCGGCCACACUGGAACUGAGACACGGUCCAGACUCCUACGGGAGGCAGCAGUAGGGAAUCUUCCGCAAUGGGCGAAAGCCUGACGGAGCAACGCCGCGUGAGUGAUGAAGGUCUUCGGAUCGUAAAACUCUGUUAUUAGGGAAGAACAUAUGUGUAAGUAACUGUGCACAUCUUGACGGUACCUAAUCAGAAAGCCACGGCUAACUACGUG